GGGCGAAUAGCUCAGCUGGGAGAGCACCUGCCUUACUAGCAGGGGGUCACAGGUUCGAGCCCUGUUUCGCCCACCA
Molecule: transfer RNA, 76 nt
Filed under: Bacillota bacterium
Lineage: Bacteria; Bacillati; Bacillota
Description: Firmicutes bacterium (anaerobic digester metagenome) tRNA-Val
Rfam family: tRNA
About the family: Transfer RNA (tRNA) molecules are approximately 80 nucleotides in length. Their secondary structure includes four short double-helical elements and three loops (D, anti-codon, and T loops).
Source: RNAcentral